UACGGAGGGUGCGAACGUUAAUCGGAAUCACUGGGCGUAAAGCGCGCGUAGGCGGUCUGUUAAGUGGGAUGUGAAAUCCCCGGGCUUAACCUGGGAAUUGCAUUUCAAACUGGCCGACUAGAGUACGGUAGAGGGAGGUAGAAUUUCCUGUGUAGCGGUGAAAUGCGCAGAUAUCAGGAGGAACACCGAUGGCGAAGGCAGGUCUCUGGGCCACUACUGACGCUGAGAAGCGAAAGCAUGGGGAGCGAACAGG
This 253-nucleotide ribosomal RNA is filed under the name uncultured bacterium. Its description in RNAcentral is "partial 16S ribosomal RNA". It matches the Rfam family "Bacterial small subunit ribosomal RNA", at positions 524 to 776 of the family's 1533-position model. The record is from RNAcentral.